CUUGCCUCAAAUAAGAGGUCCAGCCUGCCCAGUGACACUGUUCAACGGCCGCGGUAUCCUAACCGUGCGAAGGUAGCGUAAUCACUUGUUCUUUAAAUGAGGACUAGUAUGAAAGGCAUCACGAGAGUCAUACUGUCUCCUUUUUCCAAUCAGUUAAACUAAUCUCCCCGUGAAGAAGCGAGGAUAAUUCUAUAAGACGAGAAGACCCUAUGGAGCUUUAAACAAAUAACACUUGCCUAUCCCCUUCUUUAAUUUCAGAAAAAUUUCCCACUUUGGCAUGAUACUUAUAAGUUUUUGAUUGGGGUGAUCACGGAACAAAAAACAACCUCCGCAAUGAAAGACACUCCCUAACUAAGUUAAGAACUUCCGCUCUAUACAUCAACAAAUUGACACUAAUUGACCCAAUAUAUUGAUCAAUGAAC
This 422-nucleotide ribosomal RNA is filed under the name Adenomera simonstuarti group sp. ABGD cluster 38. RNAcentral describes it as "partial large subunit ribosomal RNA". It matches the Rfam family "Bacterial large subunit ribosomal RNA", at positions 1835 to 2385 of the family's 2925-position model. Lineage: Eukaryota; Metazoa; Chordata; Amphibia; Anura; Leptodactylidae. The record is from RNAcentral.